Molecule: long non-coding RNA, 2292 nt
Organism: Pecten maximus
Lineage: Eukaryota; Metazoa; Mollusca; Bivalvia; Pectinida; Pectinidae
Exons: 3
Source: RefSeq, a predicted model, not a curated record
UCGGAAAGCCUCUAAUUUUGUCACAUAGAAACGUGUACUGAAGUUUAUUUAGUGAUCGGAGAUGUGCCGUUUACUGGUCUGUCUGCGGGUAAGCCUCUUUAAUACUCUCAUCAUGAUCUAGAUACUUACUACGUCACUUUACCUGCUAAGUAGAUUUAGAGGUAGACAGUCUCGUCUCAUAUUUAUAAUUAUCUUAAUUGAUGUUAAUUAGGACCAGUGUGAUUUCUGUGACAGUGUUUUCUUACUAACACGCGUGUUUGUGAUGAGAGGCUCGCUAGAUUUAUAUUAGGAAUGACGGACUCAGUUGAGGAAGUUUGUUUGAGUGGCAGAUCUCUUGAUUAUUAAAAGCAAAGGAAAUUAAUGUUGUAAACAAUUUCAAAGUAACAAUUAUAAUUUAAAGCUUCAAGCUAUACAUCAAGUAUUUUGAAUAGAAAAUGUGUUAAUAUAACAUUAAUGAUACACUGACCCAGAAAACCUAGCAAGUCUUGUAAUGUUAUUGUUAAUCAGCCAAAUAUGGUAAAAUUUACCAAGUAGACAAACAGUAUUCCAUAGUAUUGUUGAUUGGGUUUGAAUGUGUGUCAUCCUCUGUGUAUCGAGAAAAUGUUUGAAUGUGAUAUGACAGUUCGGGCUAUUCCAGUAUGUCUACCCAACAGGAGGACUCCAGGUUUGUUAUACUGAGACAGCACGGCUAUUCCAGUAUAAUGUCUACCCAACAGGAGGACUCCAGGUUUGUUAUACUGAGACAGCACGGCUAUUCCAGUAUAAUGUCUACCAACAGGAGGACUCCAGGUUUGUUAUACUGAGACAGCACGGCUAUUCCAGUAUAAUGUCUACCAACAGGAGGACUCCAGGUUUGUUAUACUGAGACAGCAUGGCUAUUCCAGUAUAAUGUCUACCCAACAGGACUCCAGGUUUGUUAUACUGAGACAGCACGGCUAUUCCAGUAUAAUGUCUACCCAACAGGAGGACUCCAGGUUUGUUAUACUGAGAUAGCACGGCUAUUCCAGUAUAAUGUCUACCCAACAGGAGGACUCCAGGUUUGUUAUACUGAGACAGCACGGCUAUUCCAGUAUAAUGUCUACCCAACAGGACUCCAGGUUUGUUAUACUGAGACAGCACGGCUAUUCCAGUAUAAUGUCUACCCAACAGGAGGACUCCAGGUUUGUUAUACUGAGACAGCACGGCUAUUCCAGUAUAAUGUCUACCAACAGGAGGACUCCAGGUUUGUUAUACUGAGACAGCACGGCUAUUCCAGUAUAAUGUCUACCCAACAGGACUCCAGGUUUGUUAUACUGAGACAGCACGGCUAUUUCAGUAUAAUGUCUACCCAACAGGACUCCAAGUUUGUUAUACUGAGACAGCACGGCUAUUCCAGUAUAAUGUCUACCCAACAGGAGGACUCCAGGUUUGUUAUACUGAGACAGCACGGCUAUUCCAGUAUAAUGUCUACCCAACAGGAGGACUACAGGUUUGUUAUACUGAGACCACAGAUAGAAGUGAUUGACAGUGCCAUAUAUUCAGCGGUGUUCCCCCUUUUACCCACCAUCCAUAGUAUUUCUCUAUUCCUGGAGUCUUUCUGUGGGAGGUGUAUUUCAUUAGAAAAGUCCUUACAUUUUUGGGGGGGUUUUUUCCAUUUAAUUUCCAAUUACCGGUAUUAUGUGUGUAUGUCAAUUACAACUACCUUAAGUUUGUUUUAAGAUUCAUCAUACAAAAUCAUCAGAUUCACAAUUCCUUAUGAUUAUGAUUAUUGAUUUUGAACUGAAAUUGCAUGAAAUUAAGUUUGCAGAAUAAUCAGCUAAAUAGUAAUUGAAAAUUAAUUAUGUAAAUCAGUAAUUUGUUGUAUCUUUUUUUUUUUUUUUUUUUUUUCCCUUUGUAGUUUCAUUAUAUAAAUCAAAUAUCACUUGUCUGAAUUUACAUGUUCAACCAGAUUGAACACAUUUAAUAUUGUUACAGACCUUCAUGAAUGGAUUCCUUUACCAAAACAUGUAAGGUUCAAGGUAGUUAGAUCAAAUGAUUAUGUAACCCACCAAUUGCCCCAAAAUCUUAUCAUUUACUCUGCUGAUAUUGUAAGCUCAUUUCAUCAUCCAGCAUCUCCUCUCACAAUUUAUAUGGCUGACAGCUGUAUGUGUUAAGUUUACAAAGUACAUUUUGAUAUAGUUGUAUCACAUAUGAGUGCCAUCAGUAACAUUACUUGUUAUAGAAUUCCAUUUGUAGCUAGGUUGUGUUUGUAAAUAUUGAGCAGUUCCAUUAGAAUCUCACAUGUACAGACUAGUGAAAUAAAAUCACUUUUUU